UUCUCUUGAAGCUUCAAGUGCCUUUUGGCGCUUAGCUCUUGUCUCAUGAUCAAGUUUAGACCUGGGACCUUUAGAUGCCAUGGGUUUUUCUGUAUUUAUAAUAUGCUGGCUACACAAUUAAAGAACCGUUCAUUUCUUUAGCUCUACUCCGACUAUUUCUUCCCAACCAAACUAAGCUCCAAUCACAUGAAAAACAAAAGAACGAAUCUACCAUGGCG
Molecule: unclassified non-coding RNA, 218 nt
Filed under: Hevea brasiliensis (rubber tree)
Lineage: Eukaryota; Viridiplantae; Streptophyta; Magnoliopsida; Malpighiales; Euphorbiaceae
Source: RNAcentral